AGUGGUGGUAUGCUUUUGAAUGCUACUCACCAAUCUCAUCUCAUCUUAGAAGCUUAUCUGGAACGGCUCUGGUUAGUAUUGGGAUGGGAGGCUCCCUGGGAAUUCCAGGGGCUGUCAGCU
Molecule: ribosomal RNA, 120 nt
Filed under: Salvator merianae (Argentine black and white tegu)
Lineage: Eukaryota; Metazoa; Chordata; Lepidosauria; Squamata; Teiidae
Source: RNAcentral